Molecule: long non-coding RNA, 4811 nt
Organism: Gallus gallus (chicken)
Lineage: Eukaryota; Metazoa; Chordata; Aves; Galliformes; Phasianidae
Source: Ensembl
CCCCCGUUCAAAUUUGCAUGAAAAAGGAGAAAGAAAACCUGUUUUUGCUAGUCUAGGCAAUACAGUGUGCCAGAAGCUAAUGAGACAUGAAUAAGGCCAGAAAUGCACAUCUUUUCACUUCUUUAAACUUUCUGUCUUUCAGCUGCUUCUGACUUUUCCUCAGAUAUCAGCACAACUUUACUGUGCUGACAAAGUCUAUGUGUGUUCAUACGGCUAGAAAACACCAAAAAUCCCUUGUUUCAUCCUUUUUUUCCCCUUCCAAUCUAAAUGUAUGGCUCAAGGUGAGAAACUGAAUUGUCUAUUUUCACAGUACUAAAUGGCAUUAUAAAAAAGGGAAGUGAAACUCUUCAGACAGUAUACUCUAGCAAGGUUUUAUUCUUGUUCUUCUGUUUUUCAGUAUUACUCUCAAUAAUAUUUUCUACAAGGGACAGUGAAACUUUAAGAAUUUGAUCCAGCACUGAGAUUAUUCCAACAUUAAGACAGCAUUUUUAUAGGCUAUUUGAGCCAUUCCCAAUGCAGGCUUCUCAGCUCUGCCCACUGCCAGACACAUUCUCUUUUCUAGGCAAUAGAUCAUGGAUUUAUCCCACCAAACAAGAAAAUUUGACUUAGAGAAGUCACAGCCUUGCUCACUGUAGAAAUAUGCAAAUACAAUACCAGUUGUGAGAUCAAUAUUCAUUAAAAAGAUUGUUUCAAAAUAAAGAAAAAUAUCCACCUAAAUUAGCUCAAAUUCCACCCUUAUAGAGAAGUCCAAUAACAUGUUCAUUUUAAAAUAGCCUACAUAAAUGAGAGACUUACAAAGGAAAACUGAUUCAAAGCCUUACUCACUUUUUUCCACUGAAAAUCUUCAAGAAGCUCUGCAUUUACUGUUUGAAGAGUAAGUCCAUUAAACAACCUCAAGUGCUUGGGUGCACAUACUUAUACAAAACUCUGAUAAGUUCAUCCAUUUUAUUACUUUUGACUUAUAUAGGAAAUCGAAGAGACUCCAAAGUAAUAAUAAAGAUGAAUUCCUUCCUCACCACUCGAAAGAAAUCCAAAGAGUAAUUCUAAAUUCUCCUUUGAACACACCUCGAACAAGGCCUGUAAUUUCUCCUGUUGCUCUGGAAGGAUAAAAUACAAUAUUUUACAACAUAAUACAAUUCAUUACAAAAUUAAUUAUAUAUAUAUAUUUAAUCAUUACUCUGAGAAAACAUGCUAUGAGAUUCUAGUAACUGAUCUGGCAGGUGAUCUUCAUGUAAGAGGUAAAGAAAAACAGCAUUUACUUAACUGAUAACUAAAGCUAACAGAAUAAGAAAAUCUGACUCAAUAUUGCUCACAAUCAACAAGACAGGAAUAAUGGAUUGCUUAGACCCUUCGUUCUACCACUGAUGCCUCUUUGGAUCCUUAUGAGCAUCAUGUAAGAAUUUCACUGGUCAUCACUGAGAAGCUGCACAAGGUUUGAUGCUGACCCCUGUAUAACUCUGGUGCAAUUCACCACCAAUUAAUUCAGUAUCAUAUAAUCAUGUAAUCAUAGAAUCAUACAAUGGCCUGGGUUGAAAAUGACCACAAUGAUCAUCGAGUUUUAACCCCCCUGCUAUGUGCAGCAUCACCAACCAGCAGACCAGGCUGCCCAGAGCCACAUCCAGCCUGGCCUUGAAUGCCUGCAGGGAUAGGGCAUCCACAACCUCCUUGGGAAACCUGUUCCAAUGUGUCACCACCCUCUGAGUAUCCAUUAUGAGAAUCCAACUGUUCAUAAACUACAUAGGUCGCUCUAAAAGUAAUGCAUAUAUUUCCAUGGAAGGUACAAUGCAUACAAAGAACAAAAUAACACUAUUGAAUAGAGUGAAUUUUCAGCUACAAAAAACAAUCAUCACCAUUAGCAGAAUGUGUGGAUGAGCUGAUUGAGACUGUCUUCAGUUCAUGGUCUGACAGCUGUGCAUGGCUGUCUAGAACAUGGUUUGUAUUUCAUGUCAUUAUCACCACUGCAGAAAUACAAAACCCACCCCUUGUUGUGCUCAAACCCACUGUUUGGUCUCCAUAAACAUUCCGUAAGCAUCAAUGAAUGUCAGUAGGUGCUGCUUUUUCUUCAAGGAAGAAUUCAAUUACACACCUUUGCUCCAUACCCAUUUCCAUGUCAGAUGCCGUACUUUCAGACUGUCUUUCUGCUGUUGUCUGUCACACAGAACAAAAUGUAGCAGGAUAUUGGUGGGAAGACUCAGUAUCUACUGUCAUCCCACUGACAUCUGCCUCUGACGUCGUGGCCCAAGACAAUAAAAUAGAAGGCAUUACUUUUGGAGCAUCCUUUGCAGUAGAAAUGCACGAUGUGCAGCCCACUCCCCUUCCCUGGCAAAGGGUAGAAGAUUUUUCUGCACUUUGGCCAUUUUUACUCUCAUCCAUCACAGCUACUGUCAGCAGGAUGCAACAUUUUCUUUAGAAUGGAAUUAAAAUCUGAAUUUUCAUGAUGAUCCCUUGAGCGAUGAGGUAAACUCAGACCAGAAGUGUCGCUUAUCCUAUUGGUAACCAGAGCUGCAGUUUGCAGUUUACUAUAACUGCAAAUGGUGGGUAUUAAGGAGGAUUAAAAUAAAUACUUGGAGUGUGCAGAGCCCCCUCAGCAUCAUGACCUGAUGAACGCUGUUUCUCUGUAGUUGAUUAAACACAGAUUGAACUGCUAGCUGUUCCGUGCUUCCAUUGGCUCACUCUUCUUCAGAUGCACUAAUCUUGGAAAAAGCUGCCCACACCCUAAACUUUAUACCCCACAAUUUUGGCUUUGAUUUCACUGGAAUUAGCACACGAGGGAAGGUACAAGUUAUAUUCUUUCCAUGGUCUCAUGAGUGAUAUUAUUAUUUCAAGGCCAGGCUGGAUGUGGCUCUGGGCAGCCUGGUCUGCUGGUUGGUGACCCUGCACAUAGCAGAGGGUUGGAACGAGAUGAGCAUUGUGGUCCUUUUCAACCCAGGCCAUUCUAUAAUUCUAUGAUUUUAUGAUUAGGAUCAGGCUUGAGUCCUCAUGAUCUUUGUCAGAUGAUGGAGCCUCAUCCUAACACGACUGUCAGCAGCUCAUUUCUCUGUGCCUUACUCAACAACCCCCAGAUCCACUGCAAAUUCAGUAGGAAUGACCAAACCCAUGAGCAACACCAAUUUAUCACCUCCAACUUGCUCCUUCAUGAAAACGCCAACCAACCAGCCAACCUCGGAGCAGUCCCGGCCAACCCAAACGAUGCCAUGCAACUGCCGAAGCGGCGACAGCUCUUCGCAUUGUCUGCAAAGCGUGGCGGGGGUCUCUGCUGGAGCGGAGCGAUGGGAGUUUUCGUUGUAGCAACAUUGCCACCUAGUGCUGCCGUGAUGCAGUUCCGACACCGGGAAAUCCGGCUCUUGAGCAACCGAAGCAGCAGAACAGGUUGGUGUGACUUCCUCAUUCCGUAUUUUAGCCACGCUGCCACCUCUCUUCCCUCGGUAUUCUCACUUUUAGUGAGAAAGAGGGAAUAUGCCUCUCCUGAAAUAACGGGAAUAACUCAAAGCUCGCCGGCUGGCUUUCACAACGGAGCUUUCUCUAAAGUAUUUCCAAGUAAUUUUUUGGAAGCUGGUUCCAAUUUUCAGGCUACUGCUGAGGAGCUGGUUUGAACACAACAAUGGAGGCCCCUAAUUCAAUGUUGGCUUUGAAUGGAGGCAGGCUGUGAUGGUGAUACGUCACAACGAACUGGGAGGUGAUGGAGGAGGUAUGGAGGAGCGGACCCACCUAGAAAUGGCUCACCUCUGUGGUGGGUGUGGGAAGUCACUGGGUUUCAGAACAACCCAAUGGCUUAGCCUCACAUUAACUAAAGCCAUCCGUGAGAAACUGUCUUGUGAAUUUGCAUGAAACAUAUUUCUUGGGUUAGGCAGGAAAUCAAAAUUUCUUCAAGGAAGCUGAUACUAAAACCACUCUGAAAACGAAGUCUCCGAAGGCCUUACCUCACACAACACAGCCACAAACACCUGCUUCCGCUUCAGUUUCUCCUCCUAUUCAAAACUAAAGAGAGUAUUUCCAGAUCUCUGGAGCAGCUGUUCAUUUUAAGCCAGAUACGUAGCAGUAAGACACUCACUGAUGGCCUGAGGAUGGGAAAACACUACAUUUAUCAAAAUAUUCUGAUUUCCUCACUUAGACAGUUGCUGGGUAGAGCAAUGGAAGUCUUUACCCAGAUUUUUCAUGCAGCAUUUUGAAUCCUGAGUUAGAAACCAGUGAGUGUAUGUGACAUAUUUCAGGAGAUGUUCGUCGAUAGUGAAUGCGAGAUGCAAAUUCAACUAAAGUCCACAGUUUAAUCCUCAUUAAGAGGCUCAUUGGUGUCCACUUUAUCAGGAUAAUGAGAUAGAAAACAUGAGUCCUUAGGGGGACCCUAAUUAGGCGUUCUGGCAGGCCUGUUCAAGCAAGUAUAUCAUUUGAGGGGAUUGCUACCAUUGCGUUUUGUUGCUGACAUGCAUUUGCAAAUGCAUCUUGUGCUUCUAAGCUUUCAGUGCAUCUGGGGAUCCAGUUCAAGUAGCUCUCAUGAUUUUUCAAAUCCUUCCUCCAAAUCCCUACAGCCUUUCAGUCCCUCUGCCCAGUCAGACAUCACCUAUAGGGCUCCUUAAAAAUAUAUAUAUCCUUGUUUCGGCAGUCAGUAUGGGAAGCAGUGAAUCUCACAGAUCCGAUGAAGGCUGAUCUUAGGGCAAAAGCACAGAAGUGAAAUCUCUGGUCAGAACAUACACCCUAUCCAAGAUGGGUUGAAUGGUUUAAUUUCUCUGUGCCUCUGAUCCAUGCCUGUAAAAUGGGGGGAAAAUACUUUGCUUGCUUGUGCUCCUUUUCCUCUCACUACAAUUGUAUAUCUA